This 274-nucleotide ribosomal RNA is filed under the name uncultured bacterium. RNAcentral's name for it is "partial 16S ribosomal RNA". It matches the Rfam family "Bacterial small subunit ribosomal RNA", at positions 523 to 796 of the family's 1533-position model. The record is from RNAcentral.
AUACGGAGGGUGCGAGCGUUAAUCGGAAUUACUGGGCGUAAAGGGUACGUAGGCGGUUAUGUCAGUCAGAUGUGAAAGCCCCGGGCUUAACCUGGGAACUGCAUUUGAUACUGCAUAGCUAGAGUUUGGUAGAGGAGGGCGGAAUUCCCGGUGUAGCGGUGAAAUGCGUAGAGAUCGGGAGGAACACCAGUGGCGAAGGCGGCUCUCUGGACCAAAACUGACGCUGAGGUACGAAAGCGUGGGGAGCAAACAGGAUUAGAAACCCCGGUAGUCC